AUGAUUGAAGAUCAACUCCAACUGGCAUCGGAAUUGGAUGAAAUGGGCGUAACAUCAUCAGCACGUCUGCUCCUCGAGUGUAGCAUUCUGCAUUCGCGUCUUCUUUCUCUGUUCACUUCCCUGCUUGCUUCCAUGGAAUCUUCCUUUCUUUGCAACAUCCUUUAUUCAAAAACAAACUAUCAUACAUCUUCAUUCAUAUGCUGA
Vicia faba (fava bean) is the source of this 204-nucleotide non-coding RNA. Lineage: Eukaryota; Viridiplantae; Streptophyta; Magnoliopsida; Fabales; Fabaceae. The record is from the annotation of a GenBank genome assembly.